UAGGGAAUCUUCGGCAAUGGACGAAAGUCUGACCGAGCAACGCCGCGGGAGUGAAGAAGGUUUUCGGAUCGUAAAACUCUGUUGUUAGAGAAGAACAAGGACGUUAGUAACUGAACGUCCCCUGACGGUAUCUAACCAGAAAGCCACGGCUAACUACGUGCCAGCAGCCGCGGUAAUACGUAGGUGGCAAGCGUUGUCCGGAUUUAUUGGGCGUAAAGCGCACGCAGGCGGUUGAUUGAGUCAGAUGUGAAAUCCCCGGGCUUAACCCGGGAAUUGCAUCUGAUACUGGUCAGCUAGAGUCUGGUAGAGGGGGGGAGAAUUCCAUGUGUAGCGGUGAAAUGCGUAGAGAUCUGGAGGAAUACCGGUGGCGAAGGCGGCCCCCUGGACGAAGACUGACGCUCAGGUGCGAAAGCGGGGGGAGCAAACAGG
Molecule: ribosomal RNA, 429 nt
Filed under: Chloroflexota bacterium
Lineage: Bacteria; Bacillati; Chloroflexota
Description: Chloroflexi bacterium partial 16S ribosomal RNA
Rfam family: Bacterial small subunit ribosomal RNA
Source: RNAcentral